GCGGGUGUAGCUCAGGGGUAGAGCGCUACCUUGCCAAGGUCGAAGUCGAGAGUUCGAAUCUCUUCACCCGCUCCA
This 75-nucleotide transfer RNA is filed under the name Pseudomonadota bacterium. RNAcentral describes it as "tRNA-Gly". It matches the Rfam family "tRNA". Rfam says of the family: Transfer RNA (tRNA) molecules are approximately 80 nucleotides in length. Their secondary structure includes four short double-helical elements and three loops (D, anti-codon, and T loops). RNAcentral also lists the same sequence under 4 other names. The record is from RNAcentral. Lineage: Bacteria; Pseudomonadati; Pseudomonadota.